This is a long non-coding RNA of Scylla paramamosain (green mud crab), 693 nucleotides long. RefSeq lists it as uncharacterized. The transcript has 3 exons. The record is from RefSeq and is a predicted model, not a curated record. NCBI's taxonomy places the organism in Eukaryota, Metazoa, Arthropoda, Malacostraca, Decapoda, Portunidae.
GUUGUUAAAGAAAACGUAAGAGCGAGAAUUAUGUGAUUAGAAUGAGAGGUACAUUUUGUUUAUUUAUAAGUGGAAGUAGAAGAACUGCGAAAUAUUCGGUAUCUCAAGCUAUACGCUCUUCACACGGAAGAAGCGGCACCACCGCGUGUUCCAACAAUGUCGUCAGCUGAUGCCUGGUCCACCACCUCGUCAACUCGCCUUCUGUCGUCCUUAUUUCGUACAUGAGACAAGCCGAUCAAGAUAUAUAGUUUGGAAGGCCGCCAGCCAGCGCCCACCAGCGGCCCCAGUGCGCCUUGUGCCUUCACUUGCGGCGUCCCCUCUCCCCUAUCCUCCUCAAAGUCCUUCAGCAUGUCAGUGCUGUCCAUCCUGAGACGCGGGGAUUUAGCAGACUGGGUCCCUGGUUAGGCUGGUGGGUCCCUCAUGACGACUGAGAGGGACUAGAGUGCAGGCCUUUGUACCCUUCCCGCGAGGCAUGUCAUUCCUGCAAGGUAGGGGAGGAACAGAGGGGACUGCUUCUCCUUGGAUUAUCUUAUUUAUUCAUUCAUUCAUUUUUACUAUUUUUUUUUAUAUUACUUGUCUCUUUCCCUCUAGAAUAUGCAGGAAAAGACAAUUUCUAUAGGAAUGCUGUGAUUGUUCUGCCACUCUUGUUUGAUUUAUACUUUUUCUAUAACAGGAGGAGUAUGGAAGAGUAUG